RNAcentral lists this transfer RNA (72 nucleotides) under Caenorhabditis brenneri. RNAcentral's name for it is "tRNA-His (GTG) (tRNA-His-GTG-3-1)". It matches the Rfam family "tRNA". Rfam says of the family: Transfer RNA (tRNA) molecules are approximately 80 nucleotides in length. Lineage: Eukaryota; Metazoa; Nematoda; Chromadorea; Rhabditida; Rhabditidae. The record is from Rfam by way of RNAcentral.
GCCUGCUUAGUAUAGUGGUUAGUACUCCACGUUGUGGCCGUGGCGACGCUGGUUCGUUUCCAGCAGCAGGCA